CAGUUCCCAGAGGCAGCCCAUGAAUGAGGGUGGGGUGGGGAAGCUCUCCUCCGCCAUCUCAGGGCCUGAAAUGCCACCACGAUCGAUCGCUCUGCUCAGGCUCAGCACUAAGCAUUCUGCUUCUCCCAGGAAAGCGAGCCUACUUCAGCCCUUCCUACUCAAGGGGCCAGACUCCAGGGGGCCCUGAGAACCUGGUGACCGAGAGAAGUGAGCUAGGCCAAGAGAUCAGGACCGUUGGAAUGUUCUCAGCAUCGUUCUUUGUCAGGGCAAAAAUCCAAGACAACCUGGGUGUCCCAGGCGAGGGGGAGUUAAGAGAACUCAGGCUCAUCCUUUAUAAGCCGCACCUGGGAGCAGUUCCAGGAAGAAGGCAGCUCUACGUAUCACAACAAGCUCGUGGAGAAAAAGGAGAAAGAGCCCAAACACUAAUGUUGCCCUGUGUCUGGACAUGUUGGGGAGAAAUAAAGGAGAGAGAGAAGAUCUAGCCCUGCGCUUCGGGGGUCCCCAGUCUGGGAAGCCUCAGAGGACCCCCUGAGGAGGAAGCAGCCAUGGAACUCAAAGACUCCUGGUGGAGAGAGUCAGAG
This is a long non-coding RNA of Talpa occidentalis (Iberian mole), 581 nucleotides long. RefSeq lists it as uncharacterized. NCBI's taxonomy places the organism in Eukaryota, Metazoa, Chordata, Mammalia, Eulipotyphla, Talpidae. The transcript has 3 exons. The record is from RefSeq and is a predicted model, not a curated record.